Molecule: transfer RNA, 111 nt
Filed under: Scleropages formosus (Asian bonytongue)
Lineage: Eukaryota; Metazoa; Chordata; Actinopteri; Osteoglossiformes; Osteoglossidae
Rfam family: tRNA
About the family: Transfer RNA (tRNA) molecules are approximately 80 nucleotides in length. Their secondary structure includes four short double-helical elements and three loops (D, anti-codon, and T loops). Further hydrogen bonds mediate the characteristic L-shaped molecular structure. tRNAs have two regions of fundamental functional importance: the anti-codon, which is responsible for specific mRNA codon recognition, and the 3' end, to which the tRNAs corresponding amino acid is attached (by aminoacyl-tRNA synthetases). tRNAs cope with the degeneracy of the genetic code in two manners: having more than one tRNA (with a specific anti-codon) for a particular amino acid; and 'wobble' base-pairing, i.e. permitting non-standard base-pairing at the 3rd anti-codon position.
Source: Rfam by way of RNAcentral
GUCAGGAUGAUCAAGUGGUCUAAGGCACCAGACUCAAGGUUCAGUACCUUCCACAAAAAUGGGUGUUCUGGUCUCUGAAUGGAGGCGUGGGUUCAAAUCCCAAUUCUGACA